This 485-nucleotide ribosomal RNA is filed under the name Lacticaseibacillus rhamnosus. RNAcentral describes it as "bacterial SSU rRNA". It matches the Rfam family "Bacterial small subunit ribosomal RNA", at positions 8 to 464 of the family's 1533-position model. The record is from RNAcentral. Lineage: Bacteria; Bacillati; Bacillota; Bacilli; Lactobacillales; Lactobacillaceae.
AGAGUUUGAUCCUGGCUCAGGAUGAACGCUGGCGGCGUGCCUAAUACAUGCAAGUCGAACGAGUUCUGAUUAUUGAAAGGUGCUUGCAUCUUGAUUUAAUUUUGAACGAGUGGCGGACGGGUGAGUAACACGUGGGUAACCUGCCCUUAAGUGGGGGAUAACAUUUGGAAACAGAUGCUAAUACCGCAUAAAUCCAAGAACCGCAUGGUUCUUGGCUGAAAGAUGGCGUAAGCUAUCGCUUUUGGAUGGACCCGCGGCGUAUUAGCUAGUUGGUGAGGUAACGGCUCACCAAGGCAAUGAUACGUAGCCGAACUGAGAGGUUGAUCGGCCACAUUGGGACUGAGACACGGCCCAAACUCCUACGGGAGGCAGCAGUAGGGAAUCUUCCACAAUGGACGCAAGUCUGAUGGAGCAACGCCGCGUGAGUGAAGAAGGCUUUCGGGUCGUAAAACUCUGUUGUUGGAGAAGAAUGGUCGGCAGAGUAA